Molecule: long non-coding RNA, 678 nt
Filed under: Mus musculus (house mouse)
Lineage: Eukaryota; Metazoa; Chordata; Mammalia; Rodentia; Muridae
Description: predicted gene 28578
Source: RNAcentral
CCAUGUAUUAAAGAUUUAGUCCUAGGAGAUAUGACAUCCAGUGGAAUUGGGGGUGGGGGGUGUCUUGACUACAAAGGAGAUUUGGUUUUCUUUUUUCUCUAUCCAUCCACCGCCUCCCCUUCUUUCUUCUCACCCGAUUCCUGAUCUUCGUUUCAUUCUUCCUUCCGUGCUUGGAAUUGAACCCAGAGCCUUUUGCAUGCUGGACAAGCACUGCACCUCCAGGACUUAGUUCUUUCUCUUGCUUCCCGACGAUGAAGGGAGUGAUUUUUGCUUUGCCACAGACGCCUGCCAUAAUUUUCUGUCUUGCCUUGGGUCUCAAAACAACAGAGCUAAUUGAUCACAAACUGUAUUGUCCAAAAACUGUAAGCCAAGCUUGUAACCUGUCCCCUCCUGGACUGUGAAAAGAACAUAUAGCCCGACCUCCCUGCCAACAAGCUGUACCAUUGGGAAGAGGAGAGCCCAACGGUAGAAGCUCAUCAAUGAUUCCCAGCCUCUGUUUCCAUCAGAAUUGCUUGAUGAAGCUCCUUUAACACAAAUAGAUUUACUCACAUUCCUUAACUGUAAAAGGUGUGCAUGUGCCAGCAGGGGGUUCUGGAAUCAUGUACCUUUGUCAGAGCUCCCCCAUUUAAUUCUGAUACAAUUCCACGUAUUACCUAAAGAGAACCACUACUGAUGCGU